CACACACACAAACAAUUUGCAACUUAUUUGCUCUGGGUGUGAAAAACUUUGAAAGAGUUGCCAAUACAAAGGCCAGGCUGAGAGGGGCAAUCAGGGCAGUAAAAACUGGUUACCGUCCUUAUGCUCCUCUGGUAGCCCACCCUGCACCUGCUGCUAGGCCCGGCUGAUGGUCCCCCACUGUGGCACUCAGUGAGCAGCCCAAAAAUCAGGUGAAACUGAAAAUCCAGAAAUGUGGAUUUAAUUUAAGCAUUUGCCUUUUUGUAUAGAAUAAAAGGCAUUGUGUGUUGUCAUUUGCAUUAAGUUUUUUGUACCAUGCCCUGGUCUUCCUCAGUAUGAAAUAGGGCUGCAGCAGUUAGUCAGACAGGUUAAAUUCCCCCAAAUGCUUGUUGUACUGCCUAAAGCAGACUGGCACCCCUCUGGCAUCCCUCUGCCACGAACUGGGAUCCUUGAUGUGGGCUCACUGUGCAUGGAUGUGUCAGGGUGGCGGUCCAGAAACCGGGACCCCUGAGUGCCUGAUGAAGUUGGGAGUCUCCAGCGUGGAAGUGGACUAUCAGGGCCUGGUGCAGGGUAACCACACGCCCUCUGGUGUUAAGCACCAGAGUUUGUGCGGCCACAUACCAGGUCCCUGAUGCAGCUACAGCGGAUCCCAGGAACUUGAAGCUUGGAAUUAAGCAGACCUCCCAGGAGCUGAAUAGGGGGGCUCUGCAGCAAGAAUGUAUCCAGUACAGAAACAAGGCAAGGCUAGGAUAGUCACCAAACAAGACAAAAACUAGUAGAACCCAGAACCAGAGAAGGAUAGAAAGCUAAACCCAGAACAUGUACACAAUACAUCAAGGGAACAUUAACUAAACAGGGGCAGGACAGGACAGGACUGAACAUGGACUGGGAUUACAAACUAAAACAAGACAAGAGAUACAAGGCAAAACAAGAGGAGACAUAACUAAGCACUAUAUAUGGAAAUCAUGGGGAUUUAGUCACAUUAUAUGAUCAUACAUUGCACAAGCCUGCCAACAACGCCAAUGUACCCCAUAUCUGGCAGGUCCUACACUGCCUAAUGUUAGCUAAAAGAACCAUACUAAACCACAAUACAGCACUUGCCUGCAAGAAAGGGCAGAGACUUGAACCACUGCUGCAGGUCCAGACUGAAACAAAAGGAAAAUGGAAAACAAACGGGCGUGGCAACAUAAAACAAACAUUUAAAGGAAACCUGGACACUGGGAAUUCCAGGGACGGAGUACAGGAAUGAACCCAGAAAAACCCAGCAUAAAGAAAACCAGACAUAGACCAGAAAACCAGAAAAACCAAGAAAAACUAAACAAGAAUUGUAAAAAGAGUAUUGGAUACCAGAAGCCAUCACCAGAAUGAUCCGCAGAACAAGGCAUGAUGUGACAGGAUGUUGGCAUGAACACCUUUUUAUCUUUAAAUUUGAGAUCCAGCAGUUCGUCCUGGCAGAGAGCAGCUGUUUCCCCCUCUUUAGCUUUUUUUGUGCCAGGGCUUUUGGGAAACUGGCACAGGUUUUUCGGAUGGUGCCGCAGGCCACAGUUUCAAAGCAAUAAAGCAUCCUAAGAAGAGGGAUGCUGUUGUAGUAGUUGUCUAUGUACAAAUAAUACCCUGUGACAAACUGCCCUUUGUCACUGGUUUUUCAUAUGACCAACUGCCCGUUGCCCCUGACUUUUGGAGGAGCCUAAUUGCCAUCCUCCUGCCUUAUGACUAUGGCCCUUUAAAAACAUUAUUUGGGCAUAUUGGAUUGUAACAUUUUUUUUCUGCCCCUUUAAUUCCAUGGGAAAAUGUGCCUCUUCCUCUCCCCCUUUUUCCUUUCCCAUUGUUCUCCAGCAGGGCGUUGUCCCAGGGACACUGCCAGACCAGUUUAAACUGGCUGAUUUGUCCCUCCUCAAUCUCUGAUCAGCCCUUGCUAAACUUUAACCCCAUGGCGAUUUUAUUCUGUUCGUGGGAUCAGAACGCUGUUUGGAUAUAUUGAGCGCUCAGAUCCAAGCUAUAUGGGGAUGGGAUAGGUUGAAUGUGAGGGUUCUGUUCAGUAUAAUAGGAAUUAUGUAUUUCUACUGUUGUUGUAAAUGGAGAUAUUCCCUGUACCUGGAGAUAAUUAAGUUACCACACCCACUUAAGCCAAUUAUCUCCAGGAUAGAGGAGAAGAUAGCCUGGCUGCUCAGCCUAAAUCUGUGGAACUGUUUUGGGCAGGAAAGCCAUGCUUUUAGUCGGUCAAAUAGGACUUCCACCUAACUUUUGAACCACUGGACCAAAUUGUAUGAUUUUUGGAUAUGUUUGUAUAAUGAUUAUGCUGAUUCAGAAUAUGUAACUUUUAUGUAAAUUGCAUGUAUGGUUUGGAAGUUAUGAAUAUUGUGUAAAACUGUAUAUUUUCCUGCCUGUGAUAAUUAAGUUAACCAAUUGUGUACAGUAAUUAUAUCACAGGCAGAGGGAGGGUUUGUGUGCCUUGGCUGGGAGUGUCUGAC
RNAcentral lists this long non-coding RNA (2468 nucleotides) under Pelobates cultripes (western spadefoot toad). The record is from RNAcentral. Lineage: Eukaryota; Metazoa; Chordata; Amphibia; Anura; Pelobatidae.